CGCGUAGGCGGGCGGUCAAGUCAGGGGUGAAAUCCUCCCGCUCAACGGGAGAACAGCUUUUGAUACUGGCCGUCUUGAGGGGGUAGGGGCAUGUGGAACUUCCGGUGGAGCGGUGAAAUGCGUAGAUAUCGGAAGGAACGCCGGUGGCGAAAGCGACGUGCUGGACCCUUUCUGACGCUGAGGCGCGAAAGCCAGGGGAGCAAACGGGAUUAGAUACCCCGGUAGUCCUGGCCCUAAACGUUGGGUACUAGAUUGUGGACUGAACAUGGGUUCACAGUCGAAGCCAAAGUGUUAAGUACCCCGCCUGGGGAGUAUGGUCGCAAGGCUGAA
This 330-nucleotide ribosomal RNA is filed under the name uncultured bacterium. Its description in RNAcentral is "bacterial SSU rRNA". It matches the Rfam family "Bacterial small subunit ribosomal RNA", at positions 568 to 898 of the family's 1533-position model. The record is from RNAcentral.